GCAGACGUGACCGAAUGGUUAAGGCGUCAGACUGGUAAUCUCAUGGGCAAUGUCCACGCAGGUUCGGAUCUUGCCGGCUGCG
This 82-nucleotide transfer RNA is filed under the name Tigriopus californicus. RNAcentral describes it as "tRNA-Thr for anticodon GGU". It matches the Rfam family "tRNA". From Rfam's summary of the family: Transfer RNA (tRNA) molecules are approximately 80 nucleotides in length. Lineage: Eukaryota; Metazoa; Arthropoda; Copepoda; Harpacticoida; Harpacticidae. The record is from Rfam by way of RNAcentral.